Molecule: ribosomal RNA, 457 nt
Filed under: uncultured bacterium
Lineage: Bacteria
Description: bacterial SSU rRNA
Rfam family: Bacterial small subunit ribosomal RNA
Source: RNAcentral
AUUGAACGCUGGCGGCAGGCCUAAUACAUGCAAGUCGGACGGUAACAUAAGAAAAGCUUGCUUUUCUUGAUGACGAGUGGCGGACGGGUGAGUAAGAUUUGGGAAACUACCUGGUAGAGGGGGACAACAGUUGGAAACGACUGCUAAUACCGCAUACAGCCUCAGGGUGAAAGAAGAAAUUCGCUAUCAGAUGUGCCCAAACGGGAUUAGCUAGUAGGUGAGGUAAAGGCUCACCUAGGCGACGAUCUCUAGCUGGUCUGAGAGGAUGAUCAGCCACAUUGGGACUGAGACACGGCCCAGACUCCUACGGGAGGCAGCAGUAGGGAAUAUUGCACAAUGGAGGAAACUCUGAUGCAGCCAUGCCGCGUGUGUGAAAGAAGGCCUUGGGUUGUAAAGCACUUUCGGAGGGGAGGAAGAAAAUGACGUUACCUCAGAAGAAGCACCGGCUAACUCCGUG